This 265-nucleotide ribosomal RNA is filed under the name uncultured bacterium. RNAcentral describes it as "partial 16S ribosomal RNA". It matches the Rfam family "Bacterial small subunit ribosomal RNA", at positions 793 to 1055 of the family's 1533-position model. The record is from RNAcentral.
GUCCACGCCGUAAACUAUGAGAGCUAGACGUCGGGCGGCUUGCCGUUCGGUGUCGCAGCUAACGCAUUAAGAUCUCCGCCUGGGGAGUACGGCCGCAAGGUUAAAACUCAAAGGAAUUGACGGGGGCCCCGCACAAGCGGUGGAGCAUGUGGUUUAAUUCGAAGCAACGCGCAGAACCUUACCAUCCCUUGACUUGGACGUCGCGGGCCGGGAGACCGGUCUUUCAGUUCGGCUGGACGUAACACAGGUGCUGCAUGGCUGUCGU